This is a long non-coding RNA of Harpia harpyja (harpy eagle), 310 nucleotides long. RefSeq lists it as uncharacterized. The transcript has 3 exons. NCBI's taxonomy places the organism in Eukaryota, Metazoa, Chordata, Aves, Accipitriformes, Accipitridae. The record is from RefSeq and is a predicted model, not a curated record.
GAAAAAUUCACUGCAGUCUAUGAGCCCAAAACCCCAAUGGGAUUCAAAGUGGGCCUGGAGACAGCAGAGGAUCAGUGAACUAAGUUUAAAGAACAAAAAUUGAAUAGAAAGCAGGAACAUUUUUCUGGGAAGAAAGUAAUGCAUUGAACAAUUCCAUGGAAUUAAAUUCAAGAUCUGAUUGUUAUGGAAGAUAUCACAAGAAUCUACAAGAUUUUCAGGCAAACAACUCGAGCCAUUGACACAGGGAUCCUGUACUUCAGUACAGUACUAAAUGCCUGGUGCCAGUAAUGCUGCUGCUUCGGAAGGAAAG